RNAcentral lists this long non-coding RNA (383 nucleotides) under Lathyrus oleraceus (garden pea). RNAcentral describes it as "Pisum sativum (pea) long non-coding RNA (PSAT_LNC025795)". The record is from RNAcentral. Lineage: Eukaryota; Viridiplantae; Streptophyta; Magnoliopsida; Fabales; Fabaceae.
GGAAAUGAAAUGAUUUGAGAAAUGGCUUGAGACGCUUAUUAAAGAAAAUGGCUUGGUGUUGACCAAGUUGAAUUUUUCAAAUGAUUUAUUUUAUUUGUGAAGGUUAAUGUAUGUUAAGUGAUUGAUUUUAGUUUAGAAAGAUUUUAGUGUGAUUUUGAAAAUUUUACUUGAUGUUGAUCAAGCACCUUUAAUUUUUAGUAUUUUUUGAAAAGUUAAUUUUAAGAGUCAUUUUAUCUUUUUGGAUUAACAAUUAUGCAUCAACUAAAAAUAAAAUAAAAUAAACUAAAUAAUAAAAUAAAUAAAAAAAGAUAAGAAGAUAAAAAAAAAAGGAUGAAACACACUAUCAAUACAAGAGAUAAAAGAAUUUAAAAAAUAAAAGAAAA